This 264-nucleotide ribosomal RNA is filed under the name uncultured archaeon. RNAcentral describes it as "partial 16S ribosomal RNA". It matches the Rfam family "Archaeal small subunit ribosomal RNA", at positions 717 to 982 of the family's 1478-position model. The record is from RNAcentral.
AGACGUCUACAUUAGAUACCCGGGUAGUCCCAGCCGUAAACUAUGCGCGUUAGGUGUAUCGGUGACCACGAGUUACCGAGGUGCCGAAGGGAAACCGUGAAACGUGCCGCCUGGGAAGUACGGUCGCAAGGCUGAAACUUAAAGGAAUUGGCGGGGAGCACCACAACAGGUGGAGCCUGCGGUUUAAUUGGACUCAACGCCGGGAAGCUCACCGGAUAAGACAGCAGAAUGAUUGCCGGGCUGAAGACCCUGCAUGACUAGCUG